This is a long non-coding RNA of Rhinolophus ferrumequinum (greater horseshoe bat), 762 nucleotides long. RefSeq lists it as uncharacterized. The transcript has 4 exons. Lineage: Eukaryota; Metazoa; Chordata; Mammalia; Chiroptera; Rhinolophidae. The record is from RefSeq and is a predicted model, not a curated record.
UGUUGGAGAGGCUACCGCCGACUGUGCGCACACAUGACCCCGACCCCUGGGAGGACCCUCCUGCUCCCAUUCUCAGUGACCCUGGGCCUGGAGCUGCUGAUCCCACGCCAGCGGGCGGUACACACAGCUUCCUGCUGAGUUGCUAUGGUUUGUGUCCCGGUACCUGUACAGGGCCAUUUUCAGCCUAAGAGGUAGGAUUUUAUGUUUGGAGAGACACCACAAGGAACGAAUUACAGAGAGUUCCAGAACUCCGGAAUGCUGUGAUUGGAACACCUUCUCCUCGUCUAUUCUCCUCACCUUCCUUUCAUUCGAGUCCGGCCCAUGUGCCAGGCACUGAGUACGGUGAUGGGGAACACAGACACAAGCUUCCCGCCCCGGAGGACCUCGGACAGAUGAGGCAGGCAGGUGUGGAAAUAAUCGCCAAGCACUGAGGUCCUACCAGGAUCUGCUAACCGUGGCCUUCAUCAAGCUAACCUCCUAAGUUACACUAAUAUGGGUUGUUUGGAAACUGCCAUCAAUGACACUGAGGCCUGACCUUAGCAGCAGUGGGGGUGCUGUCCUGCCUUUUCAUUUGAGAUAAGAAGGGCACCCGCUUUCCUCCAUGGCCCAACCUGCUGUAAGAUUGUGAGGUUCCAGAUGCUCUGUGUAAAACAAUGCCCCACAGGGGAAAGUCAAGGAGUGGAAGUGUGAGGUCCAGCUUGAGGCCACCCUAAAAAGAGCUACAAACAGCAGCUGUUUCUAUUGUGUGUGCCAAGUGCCGCC